GAUGAACGCUGGCGGCGUGCCUAAUACAUGCAAGUCGAGCGAACGGACGAGAAGCUUGCUUUUCUGAUGUUAGCGGCGGACGGGUGAGUAACACGUGGAUAACCUACCUAUAAGACUGGGAUAACUUCGGGAAACCGGAGCUAAUACCGGAUAAUAUUUUGAACCGCAUGGUUCAAAAGUGAAAGACGGUCUUGCUGUCACUUAUAGAUGGAUCCGCGCUGCAUUAGCUAGUUGGUAAGGUAACGGCUUACCAAGGCAACGAUGCAUAGCCGACCUGAGAGGGUGAUCGGCCACACUGGAACUGAGACACGGUCCAGACUCCUACGGGAGGCAGCAGUAGGGAUUCUUCCGCAAUGGGCGAAAGCCUGACGGAGCAACGCCGCGUGAGUGAUGAGGGUCUUCGGAUCGUAAAACUCUGUUAUUAGGGAAGAACAUAUGUGUAAGUAACUGUGCACAUCUUGACGGUACCUAAUCAGAAAGCCACGGCUAACUACGUG
Molecule: ribosomal RNA, 497 nt
Filed under: uncultured bacterium
Lineage: Bacteria
Description: partial 16S ribosomal RNA
Rfam family: Bacterial small subunit ribosomal RNA
Source: RNAcentral